GGGGAAGUAGCUCAGUCGGGAGAGCGUCGCGUUCGCAAUGCGAAGGUCAGGGGUUCGAGCCCCCUCUUCUCCACCA
Molecule: transfer RNA, 76 nt
Filed under: Armatimonadota bacterium
Lineage: Bacteria; Bacillati; Armatimonadota
Description: Armatimonadetes bacterium (groundwater metagenome) tRNA-Ala
Rfam family: tRNA
About the family: Transfer RNA (tRNA) molecules are approximately 80 nucleotides in length.
Source: RNAcentral